UUUCUUCUCUAUUACACUAUAUCAUUUUGUGCUGGUAGUUUACCAUCUUGGUCAUUUCAUAUAUGCUGUUAUUUGUAAUGCAUUUAUCUUGCUGUGGAUUGAUGAUUCGGGCUAGAAUUUAAUUUGGUGGCUUCUGAUCUGUAACUUCUCGUGUUAUGUUUAACUUUGAAAUGCUUUCAAACUAUUUGGCUUGUGAGCUAUAAAUUAAUCGCCUUUUUUUGAUCUGGGUCUGAUUACUGAGCCGGGAGGGAAAAUAAAGAAAGAAUCUCAGCAACCAUUAAACUCAUUUUACUACUGCUUCCUUUGGUACAGCCGGAGAGGAACUCAAACAUUGUCUCCCGAUCUAUUAUUUCAAGAUGGAAUUGAACUGCUUAGACAAUUUGGUAAAAUUCCAUUGCAAACGUUGUAUUUGAAAUUUUAGAUUUGAUUAAAAAUAAGGAGUAAGCACCACCCUUUUGUUAGAGUUUAAAUGUGAGGUGUGAGAAAGUGGUGAAAAAUUGUGGAAUAAAACUGUUGUGUGGAUAGAGGGUGCAUAAGAUCUUGUGAGGUGCUUGCUUUAGCAGUAUUAUGCUGCUAAUUUAUUGUAUUUGAUAACUUGUAUCAUUGAAUCAGUAUGUUCAAGCUAAUGCUCAUUACCUGCGAAUGUUCACUUCUUUCAUUUAAUGUGGAAUAAGAGUUUAAAAAUAGAAUGAAAUAUCUUUAGUUUUUCUAAAUGGUAAUUUGGGCUUGGAUGCAGGUGAGUUUGAGCGAGUGGCAGGACACACAUCAAAAGUGCACACAUAUGGCACACAGUUUGUUAUUACUGGAUUCAACUAUUUGUUUUUGUGUAACUGGUGCUGAAAUUUGCAUAUUUUGUUAUGUAUAAAGGUACAGGUGAUUUGUGCGAGCGACCCAGUUUCACAACGGAGGGGAGGAG
This 916-nucleotide unclassified non-coding RNA is filed under the name Primulina bobaiensis. RNAcentral describes it as "partial 166FR". The record is from RNAcentral. Lineage: Eukaryota; Viridiplantae; Streptophyta; Magnoliopsida; Lamiales; Gesneriaceae.